Choloepus hoffmanni (Hoffmann's two-fingered sloth) is the source of this 100-nucleotide small nucleolar RNA. NCBI's taxonomy places the organism in Eukaryota, Metazoa, Chordata, Mammalia, Pilosa, Megalonychidae. The record is from Ensembl.
UGUGAGAGUGAUGGGUUGUACACUGGUGGAGUCACAGUACUGGGAUGCAGGCAUCUUUCAGUUCUGCCCUGGUGAAAAAAGUGCACAGGAGUUGCUCACA